CUUGCAGCUAGGUGAACACUGACAGCAGGUGCUUUAAGGAAAUGCAACCAAUGUUUCCACCCAUACCGGGGAUCAAACCACUGACCUCAAUGUGUGAGCUACCAACUGCAGUAGACCUUCUGGCCUAUGUGGAGCUGGAUAUGAGGUUACCCUAAGCCACUGGUUCUGCAGAGCAUUUUGGGCUGACUAAGACUAGAAUUUGAAACUUCUUGACACGUCAUAGUUGUAAGAUAAGAUAAGAUAAGAUUUCGUUCGGAUUUUUAACCCCGGAGGGUUAGCCACCCAGGAUAACCCAAGAAAGUCAGUGCGUCAUCGAGGACUGUCUAACUUAUUUCCAUUGGGGUCCUUAAUCUUGUCCCCCAGGAUGCGACCCACACCAGUCGACUAACACCCAGGUACCUAUUUGCUGCUAGGUGAACAGGACAAUAGGUGUAAGGAAACGUGUCGGAAUUUCCACCCCCCGGGAAUCGAACCCGGGCCCUCCGUGUGUGAAGCGGGAGCUUUAGCCACCAGACCACCGGGCCACCAAUAAUGUAUUGUUUACAUUAUUGUUCGAAUGGCACUCAACUUGCAGACUCCUCUGCAGUUCAGGACCUUUCAGUCUCCUGUGGAAGGUGGCCCAUUUCCAGCACUGUCUAGGUACCCUCAAGAUCACUGGCAACUUAGAUCUGUUGCAGUGUCUCACCAAAGGAGCUGCCUUGCUGAUAGUGAAGGACCCUUGAUCUGAGGAACUGGAGUUAUCCUUCCGUUGGAUCCCAUCAGAAUGUUUGCCAUCCUGCUCCAACACCGUAGUUGUGUUGUCUUCGUCCUGCCCACGUACUGUUACUGGUAUGUAGUCUUUUUUGUGGUUUGAGUUUUGGAUACUGUCGAUUAUAGUGUAUGGACUGAUUUGUUGAACCUAUAUAUUUCUGCUGUUUUGUAGAUUUAAGCCGUUAUUAUAAUCAUGGGGAAUGCUAAACCCAUUGGGAUUAUACAGCACCUGUAGAGGGGGAAGGUAUUCAGACACAAUUCAGGGAACUGGAGCACAGAUCCAAUUCCCUAGAUCAAGAGCCCUUCACCAGCAUCAAGGAACCUCCCUUGAGGGGUAGAUUUAGACCAAAACUUAGGUUUGGAUUAUUUUAUAGAGCACAGGGAAAACAUCUUGUAGGGCUUGCCCCAUCAAAGGAGGUUUUUUGAUACUGAGAAGAGAUUGUUGAUCUAAAGAAUUGGACUUAACCUCCCAUUCCUUGUACUAAUGCUAAUUAUCUUCCUCAUGAGUAUAAUGCAGUAACGUGUAUACAUUAUUUUAAAAGUGAAUAUAGGAAAGAGUAAGGUGUUGAGGAUAAAAAAUUUAGAUAACGAAAGAUUGGAGAAGGUAAAUGUAUUUAGAUAUUUGGGAGUGAUUGUGUCAACAGAUGUGUCUAUGAAAGAUGAGGUGAAUCAUAUAAUUGAUGAGGAAAAAAAGAUGAGUGGUGCUCUGAGGAGUCUAGGGAGACAAAGAACAUUGUCCAUGGAAGCAAAGAGGGGAAUGUAUGAGAGUAUAGUUAUACCAACGCUUUUAUAUGGGUGCGAAAUGUUGCAGUAAAAGAAGGCUGGAGGCAGUGAAGAUGUCAUGUGUGAGAGCAAUGUGUGGUGUGAAUAUAAUGGUGAAGAUACAUAGUUUGGAAAUUAGGAGGAGUUGCGGGAUUCCCAAAGGUAUUGUCCAGAUGAUGAAACGAUUCCUCUCACACUCCACAAUUUCCUUGACUUAACUCCUUCCUUACUUAGGGGAAAAAGAGACAAAUUAUUCACCAGUGAAGGUCGUAAUUAACCCUAACCUUCAUUUACACAAGAAUAUCUGUAAUGUUAAAUUUAUGCCAUUACUCUGGCACAACAGUCUCGGAACUACCAUCCAUUGCUCUAAUGAGUUUUUACAUAACCAGGCACAUGUAUUUGUGUUGAAAUGAAUUUCUAAGUUCACCAUUAUCAAGAGUGAGUGAGGAGAACCUUGAAUACAAGAUUAUCUUUCUGGCCAGGUACAUCUUGACUGCAGGAAUAAAAUAAUGCCUGAAAUUAAUCAACAAACAGGGUUUGUCUUGAUGUUUUACAGCACUGUACAUUACCAUUGCCUUGCAAUUGAACGGUUGCAUUUGUUCAGAGAAACAAGGUAAUGUUUACUUUGCAACACGCUGCACUUUUUACUUGCUAGUUAAUGUGGGUUCUUGAUGGCAUUCACCUUCAAGGUUGUCCUAUCUUGUUAACGUUAAACACUCAGAAAGGUACACAAUACCAACAAGAUGAAAGUUAAGACACAUGUGCAACAUCUUUAUUUAGACAUUUCUCCAUUAAGGUGGCUUUAUCAGUACAGAUUCUAGGACAUAACUAGUUAUGUCCUAGAAUCUGUAUUGAUAAAGCCACAUCUACAAUAAAGACACCCAGAUGUCGCACGUGUCUUAACUUUCAUUGAAUACUCAGUUUAGACUGUAACUGUUCUCAGAAAUAAUUUGCUUAGAGUAUGCAGGGAAAUUUUGCAUUGGAUUGUGAUCAGCUGCUGUACUCUUGACUCCACAUCUUGUGUUAUGAAACUGAUUGUCCUUUCAAACAGUCACACAAACAUACUGUUGUCAACACUGUCCUUAAGCAAUGUUUUGCAGUAUUGUGUCUUACUUUCUGAGCAUUAAGUAGGGACACUUUUCUUGUGUUCUGUCUAAUUGUAUGUAUGGUGAAUUAUCUCAGACAAAACAUACAAGCAUUAUACAUAUUUAAAGUGUCCAUCUUCAGUACCCUUGGAGCUGAUUAUUAUAUUCUGCUUGAUAACUCUAGCAUCACUGAUAUUUCUCUCGGGUGCCAUGUUGAAUAUCCAGAAUAGAGAUGAUGUGAGAAAAAAGAUCCAAAAUGCUUUGAUGACACUGAGAAAAGAACAAAACAAUCCCAACUUGUGUUGAAGGGAAGGAAAUCAACUAUGCAAACUUAAGUGAUUUUUACAUAUAAACUUGAGUAUUCGGUGCCAACAAAGUUUUUUCGAAUGAUAAUCAAGAAAAGAAUUCGGUUAAUCAGUACUACAAGUUUGAGUCCAUAUUAUCUCAGUGCUAACUAACUCUUUCUGUAGUUGACGUCUUGAUCAAACUCUAAUAAUAUUACCUUGAAUUUGGAAACUACAUGAACCUUCUGUACUCCACCUCUUGUUUGAGCUCUAAUAAUCUUGCCUGUAAAUUCUAACCCAUGUUACAUUUAAUUUUAAGCCUAGAGGUCUCCCUCACUAGUAUAGAAUUUAAUUCAGAAUAGACUUAUUGGAUUUGCCACACUCAAAUUGCUUUCUUUUAUAUGAAUAUAAACCCACAGAAUGAUUUUUGAAGAGGUAUCCCUCAGAUGGUACCUCACCACCACAAUGAUGCACACUUAACACCAACCAUCCGAUGGUACCUCACCACCAGCCAUCCGAUGGUACCUCACCACCACAAUGAUGCACACUUAACACCAACCAAUCGAUGGGCCACAGGAGUUAAAAGUGCACAGGAACCACUCAUUCUGAUGACUUUAGUAGUUUACUGGACUGGAUUGAUAUGUAGUGAGGUCCAAGGAUGUGAUAACUGCAUAAAGGCGGUGUGUGGUCAAGAAAGAAAAAUCCCGAAGGUUGCUUGAUGUAAGGUAUUGCUCAAGCUGUGUCACCUCCAGUCCUUGGCGUCAUUAUAUUCGUUGUGCCUGCUAUAAUUUUGUAUUUCUCUUCCUAUCUAUCUUAGCAUAUUUUACUUUCUGGGACCCUAUGGAGGUGAUGAGGGGCUCUUGAUCCAAGGGAUUGUCCUAUCCUCCCUUUCUUUGAAUUGAAUUUUAUUUCCCUAAAUGUAAUUAAAUAAAUAACAAGGCACAAUACUGUGACUUACUAUAGGUGUGCGGCCGUCUCUCUGACUCCAUUGUGUAGAUUACAUCUUUGCUCUCAUGGCUGUAGUAGUCUCUUUCACCAUUUCUCAAUGUCCUUAACCCUUAAACUGUCCAAACAUAGAUCUGCGUUCACAUGUGUAGUGCUCCAAACGUAGAUCUAUGUUUUUUUUUUUUUUUUGUUUGAAAGCAUGUAAAACGUAGAUCUACAUUUGGACAGUUUAAGGGUUAAUUUUUGCUUCCAUUAAGUUUAAAGCUGAAUGGGAAUCUAAUUCUUUGCUUCCUUUCAUUGAUGUACAUGCCCUCUGCUGAAAGACAUACAAGUUUUGCUCUUUCCGUGUACGACAAGUCUAAGCACAGUGGCAUGUACAUUCACUACUCUUCUUAUCAUGUUGAGAAAAGUGUUUUUCCAUGCUGUCCACAUUUGUGACCCUCAGUUCCUUGAAUCAGAAAUUUCCACUUCAUAAUUCAUUCUGUCAUCUUGGCUAUCCUUCCCAUGUGCUUUCUUCUCUCUCUGUUCCUCAGACAUCAAACUUACUUUUAGUGCCUUUCCUACUCCUGAUUCAGUACCUUGGAGAAACUGGCCAUUCUCUUUCUGACUCAGAGAGCACAAAAGUAGUGUUAGGCUUGCUGACACCAACAAAUCUCUUUUAUGUCAUGUCAGAGACCACAGUCACUGUGUGGUUUAAUGCUCCCUUAUACAGAACUUUCCUCAUAGAUGCCUUCCUUUCCCAUUACAUUGUAAAAUGUUGCAAAUUUCGUAACUGAUGUGUUCAGUCAAUCAUAGGGCCAGAGAGGUGGCUUAUAUACUGCAGUCAGGUGAGUCGAAGCUGGACCAUCCCCUAGUUUAAGUAGGUUAAUUCUUCGUAUAAAGAUCCCAUGAUGUUGCAGUGUCUGACAGAUGUUAUGAAUGGUUGGUUUUCUAAACCAUUCAUCAUAUGUUUUAGACAACGCAACAUCAUGGGAUCUUGAUACAAAGAAUUCUUAAUUACACUAGUGGAUGGUCCACCUUUGACUCACCUGAGUGCAGUAUAUAAGCCACCUCUCUGGCCCUGAACACAUUGAUUCCAGGCUGAGGGACUGAUUACCUCAAACUACUCCUCUCCUUAUACCUUCCUGCUUUGUAUUGGACUGGUGAAACCACUGUGUGGGAAAACAUUUCCUCAAUAAAGAUUCCCAUAUGUUGUACAAGUGUCUCAAUUCUUCAGGUUCUAUGCGAGGCAAUAAAUAUUUGAUUCAAGAAAAAAGAUUAGUGCUCUGAUCACUUGCA
Molecule: non-coding RNA, 5104 nt
Organism: Cherax quadricarinatus
Lineage: Eukaryota; Metazoa; Arthropoda; Malacostraca; Decapoda; Parastacidae
Source: RefSeq, a predicted model, not a curated record